AGAGGGGCGGGUACGGAGGGGAGGAAGCCAUGGGGGAUAAGACUGGGUCGAGAGCACGGAGGAGUUUGCCCCACAUGUGGCGACGGUGUUGUUGUAUCCUGUGCUGUGACGUUCAUCCGCCGUCAUCCGCGUCAUCGCUCACCGCCCACCAUCCAAGGGCCGCCAGGAGGGUUGAUGAAGAAAUGAUGAUGGACGCCACCACCACCAAGACGCCGUGGCUUCCAAAUCCACCUUCACCCUCAACCACCACCUCGACCUUCACCGUGACGUCGCGCCUCAACCUUCUCCUCUGCCAUCUUUAACACCGCGACCAUCUGUCAUGCUCUCAACCUUUCCAACGCGUGAUUCGUCAAGAGGAAGACGCCAGGAACAUCAGCACUCCCAUUCGCCCCUUCUACAAAUCAUUCGGGGCGUGAGGCGACGUUCAGCUGCCAAGGACGCCAGCUUGUCUUCCUUCGUCAGCCACUCCGUCAGGCAGGAGCAGGAGGAGACGGGGCCAUGGCUAUACGAGUGACGGUGGCGCAUUUUCCUCAGUGUGUGUGUGUGUGUGUGUGUGUGUUGGGGGGAAGAGUAUGGGAGGUCAAGGAAAGUGGUAUAUGGUGGGGGAGGAGGAGAGAUGUGGAGGGAGGGAAUGGAAGUUAGAUGGGAGGAGAGGGAAUGGAGCGGGGAGAUGGAAAGAGAGGGAUUGGGAGGGGGGUUAAGUAAGAGACUCUUCCUCCUCCUCCUUAUUUCUCCAUAUCCUCGUAUUUUCCACAAAGUUUUCCCAGUCAUGUGUGAGGUGUGAAGUCACGCUUCUUUUACACACACACACACACACACACACACACACACACACACACACACACACACACACACACACACACACACACACACACACACUGUUUUUCCCACCCACCUUCCGUCCACAGAAUACCUCUUUCACAAGGGAAUAUUCGGAGGUGGGGUUAGGAGGGGGAAAGAGAGGGGAAGAGGUGUGUGUGUGU
Molecule: long non-coding RNA, 983 nt
Organism: Eriocheir sinensis (Chinese mitten crab)
Lineage: Eukaryota; Metazoa; Arthropoda; Malacostraca; Decapoda; Varunidae
Exons: 3
Source: RefSeq, a predicted model, not a curated record